Molecule: long non-coding RNA, 354 nt
Filed under: Mytilus galloprovincialis (Mediterranean mussel)
Lineage: Eukaryota; Metazoa; Mollusca; Bivalvia; Mytilida; Mytilidae
Source: RNAcentral
GGGUGGUAAAGGGUUAUUUUCGUGCAACGUUUUCGACCUUUUUAUUUCACGUGUUUUCGUGUUUUGAGGAUUUAUUUCUCGUUUUCUCGUGUUUGAUUCGACGUGCGUGCCUCGUGUUCUCCUUGAUUUAUUUUCCGUGUUUCGUGUCGGUACUCUUAAUUUCUCGUGCUUGUCCCGCAUUUGAUUAAAAAGUAAACAGGGAUUAAAUUCAAAGUCAACUAGAACACACCCGCGAAAUCGCGGGCAUAUACAGCUUGUGAACUGUUGUAGGAUGAUUCUUUGUAAAAGAUAUUAUGUAUGGAGAAUUUCACAAAAGGUAUCAAAAGCCUUCUCCCUAAAGUCCGAUAUUUGUUU